Molecule: ribosomal RNA, 2225 nt
Filed under: human gut metagenome
Description: bacterial LSU rRNA
Rfam family: Bacterial large subunit ribosomal RNA
Source: RNAcentral
AGGUGAAAAGGACCCCGGGAGGGGAGUGAAAGAGAACCUGAAACCCUGUGUCUACAAGCUGUGGAAGCACUUUAUAUGUGCGACCGCGUACUUUUUGUAGAACGGUCCGGCGAGUUACGCUUACUGGCAAGGUUAAGCACUUCAGGUGUGGAGCCGUAGGGAAACCAAGUCUUAAGAGGGCCAGAGUCAGUAGGAGUAGACCCGAAACCGGGUGAUCUAUCCAUGUCCAGGUUGAAGCUGCCGUAAGAGGUAGUGGAGGACCGAACCCACAUCCGUUGAAAAGGGUGGGGAUGAGGUGUGGAUAGGGGAGAAAUUCCAAUCGAACCCGGAGAUAGCUGGUUCUCCUCGAAAUAGCUUUAGGGCUAGCCUCGAUACAGAUUUGCGGAGGUAGAGCACUGAAUUUCCUAGGGGGCGUCAAAGCCUACCGAAGAAUAUCAAACUCCGAAUGCCAUGUAGACAGGACCGGGAGUCAGACUGCACGAGAUAAGUUGGGCAGUCAAAAGGGAAAGAGCCCAGACCUGCAGCUAAGGUCCCAAAAUGUGUGUUAAGUGGAAAAGGAUGUGGGAUUUCAAAGACAACCAGGAUGUUGGCUUAGAAGCAGCCAUACAUUAAAAGAGUGCGUAAUAGCUCACUGGUCGAGUGACUUUGCGCGGAAAAUUUAACGGGGCUAAAACGUACACCGAAGCUUAGGCUUGCAACUAUGUUGCAGGGGUAGGGGAGCGUUGAAUGAGGGGUGAAGUCGUAGCGAAAGCGACGGUGGACUUCAUUCAAGUGAGAAUGCCGGAAUGAGUAGCGAGAAUUAUGUGAGAAUCAUAAUGGCCGAAAGUCUAAGGAUUUAGGAGGAAGGUUCGUCCGCUCCUAGUAAGCCGGGAGCUAAGGCGAGGCGGAAACGCGUAGCCGAUGCACAUACGGUAGAAAUUCCGUAGCCUCUGAAAGAUUAAAGCACAAGGACACUUGAGAAGCGUUUAGCCGGGCGUUGGUUGCCCCGGUCGUAAGGGACUCCGAAUGGAGGAAGUAAAUGUGGAUUGAGGCAAGAAAAGUUGUGCGUAUAUCUGAAGAGCCCGUACCGCAAACCGACACAGGUAGACAGGAAGAGGAUUCUAAGGCCAACGGGAGAAGGGUUGUUAAGGAACUCGGCAAGUUGACCCCGUAACUUCGGAAGAAGGGGAGCCUCGAAAGAGGCCGCAGUGAAUAGGCCCAAGCAACUGUUUACCAAAAACACAGGUCUAUGCUAAAUCGAAAGAUGACGUAUAUGGGCUGACGCCUGCCCGGUGCUGGAAGGUUAAGAGGAGGGCUUAGCGCAAGCGAAGGUCUGAAUUGAAGCCCCAGUAAACGGCGGCCGUAACUAUAACGGUCCUAAGGUAGCGAAAUUCCUUGUCGGGUAAGUUCCGACCCGCACGAAAGGCGUAAUGAUUUGGGCACUGUCUCAACGAGAGACUCGGUGAAAUUUUAGUACCUGUGAAGAUGCAGGUUACCCGCGACAGGACGGAAAGACCCCAUGGAGCUUUACUGCAGUUUGAUAUUGAGUAUCUGUACCACAUGUACAGGAUAGGUAGGAGCCUAUGACCUCGGGACGCCAGUUUCGAGUGAGGCGUUGUUGGGAUACUACCCUUGUGUUAUGGCUACUCUAACCCAGAUAGGUUAUCCCUAUCGGAGACAGUGUCUGACGGGCAGUUUGACUGGGGCGGUCGCCUCCUAAAAGGUAACGGAGGCGCCCAAAGGUUCCCUCAGAAUGGUUGGAAAUCAUUCGUAGAGUGUAAAGGUAUAAGGGAGCUUGACUGCGAGAGCUACAACUCGAGCAGGGACGAAAGUCGGGCUUAGUGAUCCGGUGGUUCCGUAUGGAAGGGCCAUCGCUCAACGGAUAAAAGCUACCCUGGGGAUAACAGGCUUAUCUCCCCCAAGAGUUCACAUCGACGGGGAGGUUUGGCACCUCGAUGUCGGCUCAUCGCAUCCUGGGGCUGAAGUAGGUCCCAAGGGUUGGGCUGUUCGCCCAUUAAAGCGGUACGCGAGCUGGGUUCAGAACGUCGUGAGACAGUUCGGUCCCUAUCCGUUGUGGGCGCAGGAAAUUUGAGAGGAGCUGUCCUUAGUACGAGAGGACCGGGAUGGACGUACCUCUGGUGUACCGGUUGCAGACCAACUGCACAGCCGGGUAGCUAUGUAUGGAACGGAUAAACGCUGAAGGCAUCUAAGCGUGAAGCCGCCCUCAAGAUAAGAUUUCCCAUUCU